Molecule: ribosomal RNA, 460 nt
Filed under: uncultured bacterium
Lineage: Bacteria
Description: bacterial SSU rRNA
Rfam family: Bacterial small subunit ribosomal RNA
Source: RNAcentral
UCCUACGGGGCGCAGCAGUGAGGAAUAUUGGACAAUGGGCGCAAGCCUGAUCCAGCCAUGCCGCGUGCAGGAAGACGGUCCUAUGGAUUGUAAACUGCUUUUAUACAGGAAGAAACACUCCCUCGUGAGGGAACUUGACGGUACUGUAUGAAUAAGCAUCGGCUAACUCCGUGCCAGCAGCCGCGGUAAUACGGAGGAUGCAAGCGUUAUCCGGAAUCAUUGGGUUUAAAGGGUCCGUAGGCGGUUUAAUAAGUCAGUGGUGAAAGCCCAUCGCUCAACGAUGGAACGGCCAUUGAUACUGUUAAACUUGAAUUAUUAGGAAGUAACUAGAAUAUGUAGUGUAGCGGUGAAAUGCUUAGAGAUUACAUGGAAUACCAAUUGCGAAGGCAGGUUACUACUAAUAUAUUGACGCUGAUGGACGAAAGCGUGGGGAGCGAACAGGAUUAGAUACCCUGGUAGC